GACGAACGCUGGCGGCGUGCUUAACACAUGCAAGUCGAACGAUGAGGCCGGAGCUUGCUCCGGUGGAUUAGUGGCGAACGGGUGAGUAACACGUGAGCAAUCUGCCCUUGACUCAGGAAUAACUGCUAGAAAUGGUAGCUAAUACCGGAUACGACCCUCGGAGGCAUCUCCAGGGGGUGGAAAGAAUUUCGGUCAAGGAUGGACUCGCGGCCUAUCAGCUAGUUGGUGAGGUAACGGCUCACCAAGGCGACGACGGGUAGCCGGCCUGAGAGGGUGACCGGCCACGCUGGGACUGAGACACGGCCCAGACUCCUACGGGAGGCAGCAGUGGGGAAUAUUGCACAAUGGGCGCAAGCCUGAUGCAGCAACGCCGCGUGAGGGAUGACGGCCUUCGGGUUGUAAACCUCUUUUAGUAGGGAAGAAGCGAAAGUGACGGUACCUGCAGAAAAAGCACCGGCUAACUACGUGCCAGCAGCCGCCGUAA
This 484-nucleotide ribosomal RNA is filed under the name uncultured bacterium. Its description in RNAcentral is "partial 16S ribosomal RNA". It matches the Rfam family "Bacterial small subunit ribosomal RNA", at positions 28 to 523 of the family's 1533-position model. The record is from RNAcentral.